RNAcentral lists this unclassified non-coding RNA (675 nucleotides) under Hevea brasiliensis (rubber tree). The record is from RNAcentral. Lineage: Eukaryota; Viridiplantae; Streptophyta; Magnoliopsida; Malpighiales; Euphorbiaceae.
GAACAGGCCAAGAUGCUCCUAUUCCUGCCAAACAAAAAGUACACAAUGUUAAAUGGGAGAAAUUGACUUUCAUUUGAAAGAAAUAGUGCUAGAAAAUAUAGUCCAUCAUCUCCAUGCAUCAUUUAACACCAUACCAUAUUCAUUUAGAGAACAUGAGAUUCUCAUCCUUACUCUCUUCAUAUGCAGGUCCAAUAGAAACUAAAGGAAAACUGAUGAAGAGAUGAGUAUAACGAAUGGGACUGAUGCAUAGGAUUUAUAAACUAGUUAUUCUUAUCAUGUUAGAGCAUCAAAUCUAAAAGCUCAAACUAUGAUUGAAAAGCUCCAAAUGUUACAUUAAUCCAUAUCAUAUUUCAUGCACAAUUGACUUGUAUUCGUACUCUGCAUAACCAAGGAAUCAUUGAUAUGUACUGCAGAGUUAUUGUUUUACAUUUACGAAAACAUGAAAUGCAUAGAUAGGUCAAAAUUCAUCAGCAUAUCAUGCAUUAUAAUUUUCUAACCAUAAGUGAAAUGAUAGAAGGUUGUUAUUGCAUGACCAUAUUAGGCAAAUGCAAAUCCAUUUCUUAUUUUUAUCAUUCUGAAAUCAAUUUACCACCAAAUAUGCUUAAACAUAAUUUCUCACUAGUGUUCAAGGCUAGGACUGCCAACCCACAUCGAAGCUUGACCCAGAAACAAGGA